CGUUGGUUGUCCAGGUGAAAGGUUGUAGGCAUGUAUCUUAGGCAAAUCCGGGGUACUCUAUGCUGAGAACUGAUAGCAAGCUGUACUUGUACAGUGAAGUGGCUGAUACCAUGCUUCCAGGAAAAGUCUCUAAGCUUCAGUUACACAGGAAUCGUACCCGAAACCGACACAGGUGGUCAGGUCGAGUAGACCAAAGCGCUUGAGAGAACUCUGCUGAAGGAACUAGGCAAAAUGGUACCGUAACUUCGGGAGAAGGUACGCUGCCGACGGAGAUGGGAUUUACUCCCUGAGCGGUUGGCAGCCACAGAAACCAGGCCCCUGCAACUGUUUAUUAAAAACAUAGCACUCUGCAAACACGAAAGUGGACGUAUAGGGUGUGAUGCCUGCCCGGUGCUGGAAGGUUAAUUGAUGGGGUUAGCGUAAGCGAAGCUCUUGAUCGAAGCCCCAGUAAACGGCGGCCGUAACGAUAACGGUCCUAAGGUAGCGAAAUUCCUUGUCGGGUAAGUUCCGACCUGCACGAAUGGCAUAAUGAUGGGGGCGCUGUCUCCAGCAGAGACUCAGUGAAAUCGAAUUCGCCGUGAAGAUGCGGUGUACCCGCGGCUAGACGGAAAGACCCCGUGAACCUUUACUGCAGCUUGACAUAGAACUUUGAUCUUACUUGUGUAGGAUAGGUGGGAGGCUUUGAAACUCGGACGCUAGUUUGAGUGGAGCCAAUCUUGAAAUACCACCCUGGUAAUAAUGAGGUUCUAACUCUGCUCCAUUAUCUGGAGCGAGGACCAUGUCUGGUGGGUAGUUUGACUGGGGCGGUCUCCUCCUAAAGAGUAACGGAGGAGUACGAAGGUGCGCUCAGCGUGGUCGGAAAUCACGCGUAGAGUAUAAAGGCAAAAGCGCGCUUAACUGCGAGACCCACAAGUCGAGCAGGUACGAAAGUAGGUCUUAGUGAUCCGGUGGUUCUGUAUGGAAGGGCCAUCGCUCAACGGAUAAAAGGUACUCUGGGGAUAACAGGCUGAUACCGCCCAAGAGUUCAUAUCGACGGCGGUGUUUGGCACCUCGAUGUCGGCUCAUCUCAUCCUGGGGCUGAAGCAGGUCCCAAGGGUACGGCUGUUCGCCAUUUAAAGAGGUACGCGAGCUGGGUUUAGAACGUCGUGAGACAGUUCGGUCCCUAUCUACCGUGGGCGUUGGAAAUUUGAGAGGAUCUGCUCCUAGUACGAGAGGACCAGAGUGGACGAACCUCUGGUGUACCGGUUGUGACGCCAGUCGCAUCGCCGGGUAGCUAUGUUCGGAAGGGAUAACCGCUGAAAGCAUCUAAGCAGGAAGCCUACCUCAAGAUAAGAUUUCCCAAGGACUUUAUGUCCUCUAAAGAGCCGUUGAAGACUACGACGUUGAUAGGUUGGAUGUGGAAGUGCAGUGAUGCAUGAAGCUGACCAAUACUAAUUGCUCGUGAGGCUUGAUU
RNAcentral lists this ribosomal RNA (1453 nucleotides) under metagenome. RNAcentral describes it as "bacterial LSU rRNA". It matches the Rfam family "Bacterial large subunit ribosomal RNA", at positions 1496 to 2925 of the family's 2925-position model. The record is from RNAcentral.